UACGUAGGGUGCGAGCGUUAAUCGGAAUUACUGGGCGUAAAGCGUGCGCAGGCGGUUUUGUAAGCCAGGUGUGAAAUCCCCGGGCUUAACCUGGGAAUGGCAUUUGGGACUGCAAGGCUUGAGUGCGGCAGAGGAGACUGGAAUUCCUGGUGUAGCAGUGAAAUGCGUAGAUAUCAGGAGGAACACCGAUGGCGAAGGCAGGUCUCUGGGCUGACACUGACGC
Molecule: ribosomal RNA, 223 nt
Filed under: uncultured bacterium
Lineage: Bacteria
Description: partial 16S ribosomal RNA
Rfam family: Bacterial small subunit ribosomal RNA
Source: RNAcentral